Molecule: ribosomal RNA, 253 nt
Filed under: uncultured bacterium
Lineage: Bacteria
Description: partial 16S ribosomal RNA
Rfam family: Bacterial small subunit ribosomal RNA
Source: RNAcentral
UACAGAGGGUGCGAGCGUUGUUCGGAAUUAUUGGGCGUAAAGCGCAUGUAGGCGGGAUGUUAAGUCGCGUGUGAAAGCCCCAGGCUCAACCUGGGAAGUGCGCGCGAAACUGGCAACCUUGAGUGCUGGAGAGGGUGGCGGAAUUCCCGGUGUAGAGGUGAAAUUCGUAGAUAUCGGGAGGAACACCAGAGGCGAAGGCGGCCACCUGGACAGACACUGACGCUGAGACGCGAAAGCGUGGGGAGCAAACAGG